UACGAAGGGGGCUAGCGUUGUUCGGAAUCACUGGGCGUAAAGCGCGCGCAGGUGGUCUAUUAAGUUAGAAGUGAAAGCCCAGGGCUUAACCUUGGAACGGCUUUUAAGACUGGUAGACUAGAAUCUGGUAGGGGAAUGCGGAAUACCGAGUGUAGAGGUGAAAUUCGUAGAUAUUCGGUGGAACACCAAUGGCGAAGGCAGCAUUCUGGAACAUGAUUGACACUGAGGCGCGAAAGCGUGGGGAGCAAACAGG
Molecule: ribosomal RNA, 253 nt
Filed under: uncultured bacterium
Lineage: Bacteria
Description: partial 16S ribosomal RNA
Rfam family: Bacterial small subunit ribosomal RNA
Source: RNAcentral